Vombatus ursinus (common wombat) is the source of this 1720-nucleotide long non-coding RNA. The record is from Ensembl. Lineage: Eukaryota; Metazoa; Chordata; Mammalia; Diprotodontia; Vombatidae.
AGGAAUUGGAGGGCAGUCUCCGAAAUAAUUGCUCCUCCUAAAAUAAUAAGGCUCUGGCUAGCUGCUUCCUGCUAUUUCCAGCCCUUAGUUUUCAGAAUGGUCAGGUCUUUGUAUUCUAGCCCUUUUCUGCCUUUAGCAGGAGCCUCGGCUGCAUCAGGCCCUGGGCCGUGUCAUGGAAACUGCCCAGGGUGGGGUUAGGAGGUGGGGCGGGGCUGGGACAGGAAGCCUGCAGCUCAGUCGGCAUCUUGCUACCACGUGCAGUAGUGGGGGCCAUAAAAGAGUGGGAGACGUAGAAGAAGGGCAGGACACGAGCCCCAAAGAGCCAGCCAGACACACGGAGACGAGAGAGGUAGAGAAACCAGCUGAGCCAGACACAGAAAGAUGGCCAUGGCCUUGCGGAGGCUCCAGGUCGUGACAGUGACUUUGGCUACGGCCGCGCUGCUGUUCCUGCCCCCGGAUACCUGCUUCCCGUUGCCCAGGGCUUGGGAAGUCCCCGUACUGAGCCCGGACCAUUUGGGGACUUGGAGACACCUUGCGAACUCCACCGGCGAGCAGUGGCGGUCGAUUCGCGCCCCUCCAGGCCGGAAGCAGCGGGAAAGGAUCCCCAACGCCCUGGAUCUGCCCUUCCACCUGCUGCGGGAGUUGCUGGACCGCGCAAGGGAAGAGAGGCUACGCAGCCGUGCGCGGAACAACCAGCGCUUGCUGGGGAGAGUGGGCUAGUGUGAGGCUGCGACCCCACGGGGCUGAGAAGGAGGGGUACCUGCGGGCGGGAGACGAGGGGAGCUGGAAGUAGGGAAAUCAGAGGACAGAGGUCGGGGCAGGCGUGGCUGCCAGGACGAUCUCGUAAAACAGCGAAGUUUAGAGCAAAAUCGAAGCCUCCGGUUUAUUGAGGGAAACUAUCACCUCUGUGUCUGCGUCUGCGCCCUUUCUCCCCUACCUGGAGCACGUCUCUCUCAGACUUAGAGACUUGGUCUUUGCUUCAGCGGCGAAUUCCUCCAUUUCCCCCAUAGCUCACCUCCUCUGGGAAAUAGCAACUCUAAAUCUAACACUGAGCCAAUCUUGGGAUUGGCUCAGUAUUUCGGGAAGGGGUUAUUGUCUAGCAGGAGACUGCCCCUUCGCUCCUUAACCUAGAAAGAGCAGCUUUCUUCUCAAACCCAAUUACAAAUGGUCACAGAAAGUUUUUGGGCUCCAAGCAUCCAGUAGAGGGCGAGGAGAAACUUUUUGUGUGUGUGUGUAGUGUAUAGCACAGAGACUGGAAGAAACGCGCGGAGAGCUCAAGCUCUCCCAGGAUCAAGGCAGCCCCAGGACUGGGUUAGGGGAGGUUGUGACCUAGGGAAGUCUCGCCCUUCGUUAGCACUGCCGUAGCUAAGAUCUGGAGGCUAAGGAGGAACCCGAGGCAAAACCCUGAGACUCCCCUGCCUCCUGCUCUGACCCCUCAGAGGCCGCCGCGUCUGAACUCUGCAAGUGAAGAGGGGAAGAGUCAGAGAAAGGAGACACUUAGGCAGCCUUUUCACCUUUUCCCUCAUCCUCUUCCACCGCUUUCCAGGGUUCCCGCCCCAUCCUCGCGGUCCCAAGGUGGGAGGCGGGGCUUUCUAAGUACUGCAGCGGAAUCCUACACUAAGAUUCCCAGAGGGAUGGGAGGUGGGGAUCUCUAAAGGAAAUACGCCCCCAGUCUCACUGACCUGGCCGCACCCUGGUGUUCCUGUCCCAUCUCCGUUGU